UGGGGAAUAUUGGACAAUGGGGGGAACCCUGAUCCAGCCAUGCCGCGUGUGUGAAGAAGGCCUUUUGGUUGUAAAGCACUUUAAGCGAGGAGGAGGCUACCGAGAUUAAUACUCUUGGAUAGUGGACGUUACUCGCAGAAUAAGCACCGGCUAACUCUGUACCAGCAGCCGCGGUAAUACAGAGGGUGCAAGCGUUAAUCGGAUUUACUGGGCGUAAAGCGCGCGUAGGUGGCCAAUUAAGUCAAAUGUGAAAUCCCCGAGCUUAACUUGGGAAUUGCAUUCGAUACUGGUUGGCUAGAGUAUGGGAGAGGAUGGUAGAAUUCCAGGUGUAGCGGUGAAAUGCGUAGAGAUCUGGAGGAAUACCGAUGGCGAAGGCAGCCAUCUGGCCUAAUACUGACACUGAGGUGCGAAAGCAUGGGGAGCAAACA
Molecule: ribosomal RNA, 428 nt
Filed under: uncultured bacterium
Lineage: Bacteria
Description: partial 16S ribosomal RNA
Rfam family: Bacterial small subunit ribosomal RNA
Source: RNAcentral